Papaver somniferum (opium poppy) is the source of this 3222-nucleotide long non-coding RNA. RefSeq lists it as uncharacterized. The transcript has 6 exons. The record is from RefSeq and is a predicted model, not a curated record. Lineage: Eukaryota; Viridiplantae; Streptophyta; Magnoliopsida; Ranunculales; Papaveraceae.
CUUCUCUCUGUGCUUCAUAUCCAUCAUCACGAUUCCAUUAUCAAAUUAUGAUAUAUGAAAGUGUAACUUUCAAUUCACUAUUCUAUCGGUUCAUUGUCGAAGUAUGGUAUAAGAAAAAAACCCUCUUUUCUUACCCUAAUUCUAUUUUCAUCUUCUUCUCUCCGUGCUUCAUAUCCAUCAUCACGAUCUCUCUUUUAAUUGUUAUUGGUACGAGUUUUGUCCAAGAUAAGUUACGGAGAAACCAUAAUAUCCAUUAAAGAAAAGAUCUCACUAUUCAAGACAUACUCACACUGGAUCUCUUUCCUCCAACUGGACGAUAGCAUACAGUCUAGAAGUGGAGAUGGAAGCCAAAUGAUGGUGAACUACCUAUCUUUUAUCCAGUCAUGUCUUGGAACUUCUCAUAGGAAAUCUUUGCCAUUUGCUGGAGAUGUUAUUAGCAGGAAUUGAAAAUGCAAUCUUUGUUGUGUCUCUUCUCAGGUAAUAAUUCAUUCUUCACUAAUUUAAUAAAACAACUCUCAUUUGAUGUAUUAGUAUGACAUGAGUUAGUCCCUCAAACCUAAUUUAAGCAUCUACAAAGUAGUCCAUUAUCUAAGUAUGAUAUAUGAAAGUGUAGCUUUUAAUUCACUAUUCUAUCAGUCUAUAUUACCACAAAGCAAUAAUCCAUGCAUAAGUUGUGCUUUUAGUUUAAACACUUUCAAUGUGUUCUUUUUAAUCCUAAUUUUUAUCUUUGUAUCAACAAGGGUUAAGUAAAUACAUCUGAGUAUGUUUUCUACAGCUCCACCUAAAGGAAAAUCACAUGUAUAAUGAGCAGUGGCAGAUUGCAUGGAUCAUCCAUUCCUUCUGGCAAAUAUUACCAUUCUCUGUUUUGUAUGUCAUAAGUGCACUUUGGUCACCGUCACAGGAUUCAAUGCGGGAGUCCCUCAAUAUCUGUUUUGCUUACAUUUGGACACCUAGCACCCUGUGGUUCUUCUUUCUGGAACUGGAUUCGACCCAAUGACAACCCUUUAUCUUGACACAAAAUUACAGUGGUUAGGUGGUGAACUGGAUGUAUUUGAACCGUUCACAUCCUUAUAGUUCAACCCUGCCGUAGAAUGAAUGUUGAAUGGGCCCGAUAGGGAAGUUGGUAAUUAGGAUGCAUAAGUUUUAAUGAAUUUUAAAUGCACAACAAUUUCAUCAGUAACCCACAAGUGAGCAACUAAGAUGAUAAUUACCAGGUCAGGGGCCUAGUUAAGGCUGUUGUUGAAGCCAUAUGACGUAUUCAGUAGUCAAAUGGAUGGGUGGCUAGAAAAAUACAGCUUUGCACAGUAGCACUCAUAGAACAUUUGCGCAAUUGUAUGUCUGUAUUGAGUUAGUAUCAUAGGUCCUUCGUGGAUUCUCAUGAAUUAGCGGGACACAGUUUUGUGCUCGGUGAGCCUACAUGGGAAAGCAUAGAGACACUAUAUAUAGUACUGUGAUUUUGUUGCAAGCUCUUUAAUUUUCUCUCUAUUAGUAGAGUUUACGCCCAAUUUUGGACUGAAAAACUCGGUUUUGUGAGAUGCAUGAGGUCUUGCUGAUUGAUAUUAACUCAUUUCUAUAGUUAUUAACAUUAGAUAGACAAAUAUAUAGAUAGACAAACAUCAAAGCAUUCUAUGGCAUCCAGAUGGAGUGCACUAAGCGAAUGGUAUAUACGUUAGAUAGACAAAUAUAUAGAUAGUUUUGUUUUGUUUUCCAGUAUAAUCAACUAAAUCAUUGGCAUUGCAUGUCGAGUAUCAACAAAUUGUACAUCUAAUUUGAGGCAGACAUCAAAGCAUUUUUGGCAGUGGAAUGAGUGCACUGUGAAAAUGAUGGCACAACAAGCUUAUCCAGUGCCUUAUAAGAGACGAUUGAGCUUUGAAUUUGAAAGCCUAGCGGCCAUCGAAAAAUCAUGCCUUGGUCACUGUCAGAGUGAGACACGGGAAAUGUAGUUUUCUAACAAUGCUCAUGUCAUCCAAGAUAAGAUCUCCAUACGAGACUCCAACAGUCUCCAAUUCGGUGAUCACAUUUUGUUUGCCCGAUCGGUGGUAGAGAGGGAAAAAAAGAGUGAGUGGAAGGAGAGAGAGAAGGGCAAUAAUGACAAAAGUCCGUUAUGGAGAUCAUAUGCACAAUUUAGAAGAUAUGUCAAUUGGCUGAUGGUUUCUUUUUGUAUGCGAAUUACUUACGAUCCAUCAGCUGAUGUCGUACCAGGAACUCUUAAGAGCAGUCGAUGGAUAAAAGGAAGAUUAAAGGCAGGAGCCGAGUACAAGGCGUGUCUAUCAUUGGCUUGGACCUGUUUAGAAGAAAAAAAAAGCAAACAAGGUACAGUGCUGGUGAUAUGUUAACAAUGGCUGUAUUUGGUAGAUGUACGGUGUUGGGGAACGAUCUGUUGAAGGAUAUCGACUGCGUUUAAGCCGAUAAACUAGCAAGAAAGGAGGGUUCACGGACUGCUGCUGCCACUGAUUUCAUGUGGCUAAAUGGUGAUGAACGGAGAGGAUCAGGAGGUUGUUCUCAGCUGGAAUACAAUAAGGAUGAUGGAUGGAUACAAAUACUGUGAAGCCUGGGUUCAAGACAUACAUAUAACAAUAACAGUGGAUAUUGGGGGCUGGAUUCGCGCCAUGAAGUUCAAGGAGCAGUAAUUGAAGAUGGGUUUUGCAUGGAGCUGUUGGAUCAGUGGAGAUGGAUUUGUUUACAAGGGCGACAAACCAGUAGUGUUAAUGCUAUGAUUGUUGCUUUUGAUUCAGAGGUUUUGACCUAAAUUUGGUGUUGGAUGUGAUGGUUGUUACCAAGGAUUAAGAGUACAGUCAGUGAUGGUGAUAAGACAUGUAUGCUAAUUUAGGUCAUAAUUCAGUUGGAUUUGAGUUCAAGUUUAAGGAGAAAGGGAAGUGAAAAGAUGCAAAGAAAAAUGAAAGUUGGGGUCGUGAGUUAAUGACUGAAAUUCAGCCUGAACAGAAAAAUUAGGACUAUUCCAUCUUUCUCUUAUCCAACUUCAAGGACUUCGCUUUAUAAAUUAAAUAAAAUCAAGUUGUGUAUUAUCCGACAAAAAUAAAGCUUACUUGGUAUAUGCAUGUCCCUUUAAUUUUAGCAUGUCUUCUCCUGAUAGAAUCGUUAUUAGAUUUGCACGUUGAUCCAUAGUUGUCUCUCUUUGUAGUAUCAUCGUAGAUAUGCAGGGUCAAUGUUAAAACUUUCUGUUCACAGUAUAAGAUUUUUAAACUUUUGUAUUUAUGUGUA